This 484-nucleotide ribosomal RNA is filed under the name uncultured bacterium. RNAcentral's name for it is "partial 16S ribosomal RNA". It matches the Rfam family "Bacterial small subunit ribosomal RNA", at positions 899 to 1397 of the family's 1533-position model. The record is from RNAcentral.
ACUCAAAUGAAUUGACGGGGACCCGCACAAGCGGUGGAGCAUGUUCUUUAAUUCGAUGGUAAACGAAGAACCUUACCAGGGUUUGACAUCCUUGGAAUUUCGGUGAAAGCCGAGAGUGCCCUUGGGAGCCAAGUGACAGGUGUUGCAUGGCCGUCGUCAGCUCGUGUCGUGAGAUGUUUGGUUAAGUCCAUCAACGAGCGCAACCCUUAUACUUAGUUGGAUUUUUCUAGGUAGACUGCCCCGGCAACGGGGAGGAAGGAGGGGAUGAUGUCAGGUCAGUAUUACCCUUACACCCUGGGCUAGAAACGUGCUACAAUGGCCAGUACAACGGGCAGCCAACCCGCGAGGGGGAGCAAAUCCCAUCAAAACUGGUCCCAGUUCGGAUUGCAGGCUGAAACUCGCCUGCAUGAAGUCGGAAUCGCUAGUAAUCGCAGGUCAGCAAACUGCGGUGAAUACGUUCCCGGGUCUUGUACACACCGCCCGU